This 1096-nucleotide long non-coding RNA is filed under the name Papio anubis (olive baboon). Its description in RNAcentral is "lncRNA (ENSPANG00000041005.1)". Lineage: Eukaryota; Metazoa; Chordata; Mammalia; Primates; Cercopithecidae. The record is from RNAcentral.
GAUCCACUCGUUUCCCUGGGGCCACUCCUGAUCCACUCCUGGAUCCACCUGGGUCCGUUCCACCAAAGUCCACACUCACACAGGUCCACGUUCACACACACAGGUCCACACUCACACACACAGGUUGUUCACACACACAGGUCCACACUCACACACACAGGUUGUUGUUCACACACACAAGAUCCACACUCACACACACAGGUUGUUGUUCACACACACAGGUCCGGCAUCUCGCUGAAUUUAAUUAAGGAUCAGCCUGAAAUGAAAUGGCUCCAGCAGGGAAGCGGAUGCCUCUGAGACAUUCUGAGGACAGGAGGCAAGAGACCUUGGUGUUAUUUGGUACUGUUGGUCCUGAUAGUCAGGAUCAAGCAGAAGAAUAUGAAUGAAUGAAGCCUGAGGAAAAAUUAGUCUAGCAAGGGGAGCCCGAUUUCUGUGCUGAAACAUAUGGCCACCUACAACCAGCAAAGAUACUGGACUUCUUUUUACAUACAGCGGUGCCCAGACCAAGCGUCAGGCCUCAACAUGAAAGGAAAGGACCUAAAGUCUGGCUGGUGUCUGAGGUGGUGGCUGUGGAAAGUUCCAGAGUGGUACCAAGGAAAUCUGGUUCAGCUGCAUCUGCGUGAGGAAGAGUAAGUCCAUGCUUCUGCCCACAGGGGUCUUCCGGGCUACUGGUGAGCUGUCACCUCCCCUUACAGGAGAGUUUGACGGGUGCUGGUGCAGCAGCCGAUUUUGGAGCCAGAGGAGGUGAAGACACCCGGGAGAUCAGAGCAGGGCUGGGGAGUGAGGAGGGCAGCGCCGGGUGCUUUUGAAUGAUGAAUUCCUGCCCUUAGAGACCAAGAAGGUAGUGUCAUUUCCCCCGGGGGAUCCCGUCCCCCCAACACCUGCUUUGUCAUUAAAGGACCAUCCCCCUCUGCAGAAGAAGAACUUAAAGGGCAGGCAUGUAAGACGUAUUAAAUGACAAAAUGUCACCCGGUAAACAAAGGCAAGGGGGCACACUGGGUUCAUUGAGCCGGGGGGGGGGGGGGGGGGGAUUUGGGUCAACUUCACAGCGAGGGGCAUCCCUGGUGACCAGCAAGAGGCGGAGCUGGGCAAGGGU